Molecule: long non-coding RNA, 1492 nt
Filed under: Nicotiana tabacum (common tobacco)
Lineage: Eukaryota; Viridiplantae; Streptophyta; Magnoliopsida; Solanales; Solanaceae
Description: long non-coding RNA (NTAB_LNC013088)
Source: RNAcentral
AUCAAUCUCUUUUAAUACAAUGGUCAUGAGUUAGUCCCUCACCCCAUAUAAAAAUCAUUUUUGUCAUAUCCCUAACCCUAAAGACAAAGGCAGCCGCACCCAUAUCCUCUCCAAGACCACUCUGCUAAUCUAGACUCGCUGGAAUCGGCCGAGUUCGCUCGUUGGUGCCCCCUCUCCUCUCCUCUCCUUCUUCCACGUCACACACUCCGUACAAGCCUCAUCAUAUCCAUGAGAUUCACGCAUUUUCCUUUCUUUUUAGUAUGGAUUGAAACAAAUCCGAGACCCUUGAAUAAAUCUUGGCGAAAUGGGAACCGUUGGAUGAAGAUUUUUGUCCAAAGUCUCCAUUUUUCUGAUUUUUGUUUGUGAAAGGGGAUUUUCGGAAUUGAUUUGAGGGCAAAUUCGGGUUUUGGGGGAGUUUUCUUGGAGAAGAGGUUAGGAGCUUCUGGAUUUGAAUAUAAAAGGGGGAUUUCGGACAGAGGAGAAAAGGGAGAGAAAAUUGGAGAGGCGUCAAGCUAGGGUUUUAGUUCUGAUUUGGCGAUCUUCGUCUUCUAAUUUCAGUUCAUAUAAAGAACGUUAGAGUUUUUUUAGUUUGUUCUUUUGAUUUCCAAAAUAGAAAACAAAAAAAAAAGGAAUACUAGAUUCUUGACUUGGUCUUCAACUAUGGAGUUUGAUUGAGGUUUGUCGUGGAGUCGAGGUCAUUCGAGCUGUUCAUUAUUUCCAAAUCGAUGUUCAUUUGCGGUUCCGUUCGCGCCGAGCCAAUUCAGUCCAGUUUAUGUUCGAGUUCUAGUUGCUGUUUCGUUUGAUUUUGUUGCCGCACUUGCUUGUAUUCAACUUCCAGAAUUAAUUAAACUUUUCGCAUAUCAGGUUUAUCUCCCCCUACUAUAUUUCUGUGUUGUCGAUAUUAAUAUGACGAGAGCCAAAAUUUAACUGGUUCGGGGCUAUUUGAAACUUGGAUGUUAAGAAUUGAGUCGAGUAUGUUUCUUAGCUAUUCAUGAAAUCGUUUCAGUGUUCUAGGGAGUUAUUUAGAUCUGAAUGCCUAGUUUUUUGUGUGUUCGACUUGAAUUGGUUAAUCGUAUACAUAUUAAGCGAAACAUGAAUAAGUGGCUGAUUUGCUUGUGGUUAUUGUAGGUGUAUAUUUGUUGGCUUGAAGUUACUGAAUUCCUCCAUGACUUUCCUAGUUUGAUGAUUGCCCAGUUAAGUUAAUUAAGGUUCUAAAACAUGUCUUCAACUUGUUACAAACAGUUAUAAACAAUUUUCUAGAUCUCUUAGGGUAAUCAAAUGGUGAUUAUGUUUCAAUGCUAAGUUGAUGUUCAUGCCUAAGCAAUUUGAAUGAUCACAGGAACUAAGUUAAACUAGUUGUUCCAUUUCGUCUAUGUUAAUUCGGAAUGAAUCCUAGGAGUUAUCUGCCUGAAUUCUCUGUUCGAAUUUGAUUGUGCUCUAUUAUCUACUCUCAUACAGGGUGUCAUUCAGACAUGGAAAUGGUUACAGUGGA